CAAUCACACUGAUAGUAGGAGUCAGACCUAGAUUUUGCACAUUGUGGACUUGUGUAUGUGUGCACCUAGGGCCUAUACUUGUUACACUUACGCUGCACUGUCCCUGGGCCUUUAGGGACACAAGUCAUAACCACACCUCCUGUGAUCUAUUUCCAGCUCUGAAGGGCAUUCUGUCUCAUUUCCUGAUACCUAGCCUCUUGAAGGGUAGGGCAUGUCUAUAUUGCAUCUGCCUCACUCCUUCCUCUCUGUUUGACCCCCAGGACAGGGUUUCUCUGUGUAUCUUUGGAGGAAAUUUUAAUUUGUAAAGCCGAAAGUCUUCAUAUUUGGGCCGAUGAGAUGGACCUUGAGCCUGGUAACUUAUGUUCGAUUCCAAGACUCAUACUUAAGAAGAUGUCUUCUGGCUUUCCCGUGGGAGUCUGGGUAUGCACACGUGUGCAUACAUA
RNAcentral lists this long non-coding RNA (443 nucleotides) under Cricetulus griseus (Chinese hamster). RNAcentral describes it as "lncRNA (ENSCGRG00000024917.1)". The record is from RNAcentral. Lineage: Eukaryota; Metazoa; Chordata; Mammalia; Rodentia; Cricetidae.